UCGUUUAGAACUCGGGGGUAUUUAUAAGGCAGUUUAGUAUUACCUGAUGUGCCUGCUUGCAGGAGCAGGACCGUACCUCUGAUGGCGUCUGACAUUACCGAUGGCGUUGCGUCGAGAACCGAACUGCCGCAGGGUAUGGGCGAGCAUUGGUCGUCAUCCUCCUCUGCCUCGGUCAAGCGUGCCAGGUCAGACGACGAUGGGAUUGUUGUCUG
Molecule: long non-coding RNA, 212 nt
Filed under: Musa acuminata (dwarf banana)
Lineage: Eukaryota; Viridiplantae; Streptophyta; Magnoliopsida; Zingiberales; Musaceae
Description: long non-coding RNA (MACU_LNC006701)
Source: RNAcentral